This is a non-coding RNA of Oryctolagus cuniculus (rabbit), 2648 nucleotides long. The record is from RefSeq and is a predicted model, not a curated record. NCBI's taxonomy places the organism in Eukaryota, Metazoa, Chordata, Mammalia, Lagomorpha, Leporidae.
AGAACUAUGUGUAAAAUAUGACCAUAUACAUGCAGGCAGCAGAGCAUCUAGUUUAGCAUCUGGGCCCAAAUCUGUCUCAGUCUACAGUGUGUGUUACAGAACAGGGGCAAACCAUGCACAUGUUUGCUUCUCUGUGCCUUGUCUACUCCAGAUAGGAGUUCCACUUUUAGGUGAGUAGAAGAAUCUGAUCACUUCUUCUCUACUACAGCCUUUCAGGGACUUGAAUUUUAUUCUUCUGUACCUUCCUUGCUUUUCCCGGUCAGUUAUAAGAUAUAGAUGUCCACACAGAAAUAGUUACAUUGCCAGACCUCUUUAAGUAUGGGGCAUCAAGCAAAAGAGAAAAGCAGUGAAACAAAAAUUGGUUUGUUGCGGAGGUCAACAAGAUGGGAUGAUUUUUCUUAGACCAAGACCAAAACAGAAGAGACACGGUUCAUAAACUAAGAAAUGAAGAGGGGUAUAUUGCCAAUAAGUUUACAGAAAUUUAAAAGAUUAUAAAGGAAUACUGUGAAUCAAUAUGUCAAAAGAUCCAACAAUUUAUAUGAAAUACAUACAUUGCUAGAAAAAUACAAAUUGUCACUCUCAAGAAGAAACUAAAAAUAUUAGUAGCCUAAAGCAGUCAAAAAUCAAACAAUAAUAAUAAUAAAUGUAAUCAGCAAUUUAAAACAUUACCACGAAGUCCUGACCAGAUGGUAUCCUUUGUGAAUUAUAUCAAACAUUUAAAGAAGUAAUAACAAUAUUUUUCAAACUCUACCAAAACACUUGCCAACACAUUUACACUUGCCAACUCAUUUUCUCUCUCUCUCUCUCUCUUUUCUUUCUUUCUUUCUUUCUUUCUUUCUUUCUUUCUUUCUUUCUUUCUUUCUUUCUUUCUUUCUUUCGACAGGCAGAGUUAGUGAGAGAGAGCGAGACAGAGAGAAAAGUCUUCCUUCCAUUGGUUCACUGCCCUAAUGGCCACUACAGCUGGCGCUGCGCUGAUCCGAAGCCAGGAGCCAGGUGCUUCCUCCUGGUCUCCUAUGCAGGUGCAGGGACCCAAGCACUUGGGCCAUCCUCCACUGCACUCCCAGGCCACAGCAGAGAGCUGGACUGGAGGAGGAGCAACCAGGACUACAACCCUGGGUACCGGCGCCGCAGGUGGAGGAUUAGCCUACUGAGCCAUGGCGGCGCCAGCUUAAUACUUAAAAAACAAUGAGUUCAAAUGAAUUGUAUUGAUAUCCUAAAAGUCGACAAUAGCAGGUAACUGGAUCACAAGCAGAGGAGCUGGGCCUCAAACUGGCGGUCCAAUACACGAUGCAGGCCCCCUAGCUGUGGCUUACCCUACUGCACCGCAACACUGGCCCCAACAGAUUCACUUUAACAUACCAUGCUGAUUGAGAAGAAAAAUUGCAUUCUUAGCAAAAAAAAACCUCAGCAAGAGACCUGGAAACAUCACCUCAGCAUCGUCCCCCUGCAGGCUGUGCUCUGGCCUCCCUGGCCUGGAGGUAAAGGGGAAGAUGAUCAAGCUCGCCACUCACUGUACUUUGCCCAAGGCCAUGGCCACAGAUUCCAGAGCCGACCACGGGGAAGUGCAGGGCCCCCUGCAUCCAGUUCCAGCAGGUCCGCCAACUCCGCCUCCCCUUCUCCAGACACCAAACUUCUGAGCCGUCCGGCUUCCUUUUCACAGACGGGCAGAGGCUGAACACCCUGGCCCCCUGGGCGGCAGAGCCUGACUACCACUGUGACGCGAAGAGCCCGCGUGUUUACGUAAUACUGCGCGGGCGCACCUGAUUGGAUUGUUUGCAAAGCCGGAGGGGGAGCCUUCGACGUCACAAAGGUGUAGCCAAUCAGAGGAGGGCGGUGACUUGGGGUGUGCAGUGUGGGGGUUGUGAGGGGAGAAGCUUGGGCUGUGGUCUGAAGCUGCCUCCUCCCCCUUUCUGUCUUCCCCUGCAGCCCAGGCCGCUGCACCUCUGUUCCCACAGGGAUCCGUGAGCUGGAGCCUGCAAUGACCUGCUGCAGGCGAGUCUCUAUUUGCUGACUGUGACUCCUGGGCCCUUGUCUUUCUUCACAUUCCUGGGUCAUUCUUCUGUAUGGUCAUUUACGUUCUAUAAAUUGAUUUGAAGAGUGCGUAAAGUUCUGGAGAAUAAGCCAGCAUCGCAACUUUGGGAGCGCUCAGACAGCCCUCACAGAGAAAUCCACAUAGUGCACAACUGAGGCCGACUGCUAACAACCAGCACUGUGUUUCUAGGCACGCGAGUGAGUGUACUGGACGUGAAUCUGCCAGCCUCAGCCAUACCUUCAGAUGACUGCAGCCCAGCCAACAGCUCGAUGCAGCUGCUUGUGGAAACCAGAUGGUGCGGCAGAGGACAGCGGUGCAGCCAACGGGCACCUGUGGCACACGGUCAUCAUGGGGAGCAGGAGCAGCGCAUCGACCUGCACAUGAUCCGGCCGCACAUGAAGGUUACCACAGCGAGGGCCUCAACGCCAUCAUCGUCUAUGCCGCCAGCUUCCUCCAGGACAGCAGCUGCCCGGACUACCACUAAGUCCUGGAGAACCUCUUCCUAUCCCAGGCUGGCUUUAUGUGGAGAAUGAUGCCUUGUAUACAGGAAGCACUUCAGAAUGUGGCAAGUGAGAACAUUUUUACAAUUUGUUUAUGAAUUCCAGAAAUGAGAUGG